Molecule: long non-coding RNA, 1000 nt
Filed under: Gallus gallus (chicken)
Lineage: Eukaryota; Metazoa; Chordata; Aves; Galliformes; Phasianidae
Description: lncRNA (ENSGALG00010026727.1)
Source: RNAcentral
CGGUCCUCAGCGCCCCCCGCGGGGCGCCGCGCUCAGCUGCUCGGGGUGACCCCGGGACUGCCUUCGGUCUGUGUUUACGCGAGGAUUAACAGUGAAGGAUUCGGGAAGCCUCUUCACGUGUAAUACGAUCUUGCUCAAAAGUUUUGCUUCGUAACAAAACAAACAGCAGCCCCGGGAUCCCACAUCGGGCAUCACGACUGCAAUCGCAGACGUGUAAAUAGGGAGGGCAGCGUUUGGUCCGUCAGCGCCCGGUGGGACUGGGAUGGACUCUGCAGCCUCUGCGUCAUUGGCCGGUCUGAGAGGGACUUCUACCCGAAAAAGAAACUGCAGAUGUGCACCGUCAGAUCAGAGGGGCAGCAUGGGGAGAUCUGAGGCACGUAAACCUCAAUCGGAUCAAAGGAAACGGUUCUGUGUACGGCAAAGAGCCGUGUGGCCACGGCCAGGGCUUUGAAUCCCGCUCUUAGGGUUCCAAUUAAGAUAGCUCACAGGGCACAGACAUUUUCAUCAGGCAGGAAGAGGGGGAUAAGCUUUUCCUUUUCUGAGGAAGUGGGUGAAUUAGAGAACUGAAAGGGAUUUCACAGCUUUCCAUGGCAAAGGCCAACCCUGCUGCAGUCGAAGAAGUCUCUCUUGGGAGCAGCGCAAGGAACCAGAGGUGUUCGGAUGUCAAAGGAUCUGAUACCACCACGGGGGAUUGUCAGCAGGACCCACGGGCUGUCAGAACCGGGGCUCCUAAUUGCUUUUGAAAAUCCUUCUAGGAGCUUGAUGAUGUCGUGGUACUUAAAUAUCUCAAAAAAGAAAAAAAAAAAAAAAAAGAAAGAAAAAGGAAAAAAAAUCUGUCCGCUGGUCCCUGGCCAAACUCCUCAUCUGCUUAUCUUGGCCUUUUUUGAAGUGACGAGGCAGGCAGCGCAGGGGGUUGGGACGUGUUUGUGCUGGAGCAUCAUCUCUGCUGCUCCGACAACGUGAGCUGCUGAUUAGGAUGCGUGCAGCUCUGUGAUCGUUC